AAACAUUUGUUGACCAAGGACUGGUAAGAAACUAGAUAAUCACAUUUGUGUAUAAUCAUCCUUACGUAUAAUACAACUUUUACGUAUAAUGACCUUCUCCUAAUGACCUUUUCCAGUACAAAUUGUAGUUAUUUCUUCUGCUUCUGGAAAGAUUUGGGCUGAGGGCUAUCCAUUUUCUAUCUCAACCUCUGCCAAAAGCACUAGGGCCUUAAUUUUUCUUUUACCGACUGAUUCUUGUGGCUUGCCCAUGCAUCUUGGCGUGCAAAUGUGAUCAUCUCAAUUGAUUUGACUGACAUUUAUAAGUAUGUGGUGCAUGAUCUGAUUUUCUUCCUGCAUCUGUGCAUAAGCAAAAAAAAAAUUCUCAGCGGCUAGUGUUCAAGAACCCCAUGUGAUUUUAUAGCUAUAUUUUUGAAGCAAUUGCGACUAUUUGCUAUUGAAAAAUUAAAAAGACACUGUAUCUGUAUAAAUUGUAACUAACUGCUUGCCAAAUCCUAUGUCUCUCCUGAAACCACAUU
RNAcentral lists this unclassified non-coding RNA (515 nucleotides) under Hevea brasiliensis (rubber tree). Lineage: Eukaryota; Viridiplantae; Streptophyta; Magnoliopsida; Malpighiales; Euphorbiaceae. The record is from RNAcentral.